RNAcentral lists this signal recognition particle RNA (302 nucleotides) under Saimiri boliviensis boliviensis (Bolivian squirrel monkey). RNAcentral describes it as "Metazoan signal recognition particle RNA (ENSSBOG00000008956.1)". It matches the Rfam family "Metazoan signal recognition particle RNA". Rfam says of the family: The signal recognition particle (SRP) is a universally conserved ribonucleoprotein. It is involved in the co-translational targeting of proteins to membranes. The record is from RNAcentral. Lineage: Eukaryota; Metazoa; Chordata; Mammalia; Primates; Cebidae.
GCCAGGUGCGGUGACACGUACGUGCCUAUAGUCCCAGCUACUCAGGAGGCUGAGGUGGGAGGAUCAUUUGAGCCCAGGAGUUCUGGGCUGUAGUGCUCUGUGCCAAUCGGGUGUCCGCAUUAAGUCUGGCGUUAAUAUGGUGACCUCCUGGGAGUGGGGACCACCAGGUUGCCUAAGGAGGAGUGACCCGGCCCAGGUCGGAAACGGAGCAGGUCAAAACUCUGGUGCUGAUCAGUAGUGGGAUUUCGCCUGUGAAUAGCCACUGCACUCCAGCCUGGGCAACAUAGCGAGACCCUGUCUCU